Molecule: ribosomal RNA, 253 nt
Filed under: uncultured bacterium
Lineage: Bacteria
Description: partial 16S ribosomal RNA
Rfam family: Bacterial small subunit ribosomal RNA
Source: RNAcentral
UACGUAGGGGGCAAGCGUUGUCCGGAAUCAUUGGGCGUAAAGAGCGCGUAGGCGGCCCAGUAAGUCCGCUCUGAAAGUCAGGGGCUCAACCCCUGGAUGCGGGUGGAUACUGCUGGGCUAGAGUCCGGAAGAGGUGAGUGGAAUUCCUGGUGUAGCGGUGAAAUGCAUAGAUACCACCCAGAACUCCGAUUGCGAAGGCAGCCUACUGGAGGUUCACCGACGCUCAGGCACGAAAGCGUGGGGAUCAAACAGG